RNAcentral lists this microRNA (20 nucleotides) under Gallus gallus (chicken). RNAcentral describes it as "microRNA Ros-gga". The record is from RNAcentral. Lineage: Eukaryota; Metazoa; Chordata; Aves; Galliformes; Phasianidae.
CCCGGUGCAGGCAUCAGCCC